RNAcentral lists this ribosomal RNA (253 nucleotides) under uncultured bacterium. Its description in RNAcentral is "partial 16S ribosomal RNA". It matches the Rfam family "Bacterial small subunit ribosomal RNA", at positions 524 to 776 of the family's 1533-position model. The record is from RNAcentral.
UACGUAGGGUGCAAGCGUUGUCCGGAAUUAUUGGGCGUAAAGAGCUCGUAGGCGGUUUGUUGCGUCGGCUGUGAAAUCCCGAGGCUCAACCUCGGGUCUGCAGUCGAUACGAGCAAACUAGAGUGUUGCAGGGGAGACUGGAAUUCCUGGUGUAGCGGUGAAAUGCGCAGAUAUCAGGAGGAACACCGGUGGCGAAGGCGCCACUCUGGGCCGAAACUGACGCUGAGGAGCGAAAGCAUGGGUAGCAAACAGG